GACGAACGCUGGCGGCGUGCUUAACACAUGCAAGUCGAACGGAAAGGCCCUGCUUUUGUGGGGUGCUCGAGUGGCGAACGGGUGAGUAACACGUGAGUAACCUGCCCUUGACUUUGGGAUAACUUCAGGAAACUGGGGCUAAUACCGGAUAGGAGCUCCUGCUGCAUGGUGGGGGUUGGAAAGUUUCGGCGGUUGGGGAUGGACUCGCGGCUUAUCAGCUUGUUGGUGGGGUAGUGGCUUACCAAGGCUUUGACGGGUAGCCGGCCUGAGAGGGUGACCGGCCACAUUGGGACUGAGAUACGGCCCAGACUCCUACGGGAGGCAGCAGUGGGGAAUAUUGCACAAUGGGCGGAAGCCUGAUGCAGCAACGCCGCGUGCGGGAUGACGGCCUUUGGGCUGUAAACCGCUUUCGCCUGUGACGAAGCGUGAGUGACGGUAAUGGGUAAAGAAGCACCGGCUAACUACGUG
This 468-nucleotide ribosomal RNA is filed under the name uncultured bacterium. Its description in RNAcentral is "partial 16S ribosomal RNA". It matches the Rfam family "Bacterial small subunit ribosomal RNA", at positions 28 to 507 of the family's 1533-position model. The record is from RNAcentral.